RNAcentral lists this ribosomal RNA (253 nucleotides) under uncultured bacterium. Its description in RNAcentral is "partial 16S ribosomal RNA". It matches the Rfam family "Bacterial small subunit ribosomal RNA", at positions 524 to 776 of the family's 1533-position model. The record is from RNAcentral.
UACGUAGGGUGCGAGCGUUGUCCGGAAUUAUUGGGCGUAAAGAGCUUGUAGGCGGUUUGUCGCGUCUGCCGUGAAAAUCCGAGGCUCAACCUCGGACUUGCGGUGGGUACGGGCAGACUAGAGUGUGGUAGGGGAGACUGGAAUUCCUGGUGUAGCGGUGAAAUGCGCAGAUAUCAGGAGGAACACCGAUGGCGAAGGCAGGUCUCUGGGCCACUACUGACGCUGAGGAGCGAAAGCCAGGGGAGCAAACGGG